This 301-nucleotide ribosomal RNA is filed under the name uncultured bacterium. RNAcentral describes it as "partial 16S ribosomal RNA". It matches the Rfam family "Bacterial small subunit ribosomal RNA", at positions 509 to 807 of the family's 1533-position model. The record is from RNAcentral.
CAGUCGCCGCGGGAAUACGUAGGGUGCAAGCAUUAUCCGGAGUGACUGGGCGUAAAGAGUUGCGUAGGCGGUUAGUAAAGUGAAUAGUGAAACCUGGUGGCUCAACCAUACAGACUAUUAUUCAAACUCACUAACUCGAGAAUGGUAGAGGUAAUUGGAAUUUCUUGUGUAGGAGUGAAAUCCGUAGAUAUAAGAAGGAACACCAAUGGCGUAGGCAGAUUACUGGACCAUUUCUGACGCUGAGGCACGAAAGCGUGGGGAGCGAACCGGAUUAGAUACCCCUGUAGUCCCUGUCUCUUAU